CGAUACGCAAUGCGAAUUGCAGAAUUCCGCGAGUCAUCAGAUCUUUGAACGCAACUUGCGCUGAAGGGAUAUCCCCUUCAGCAUGCUUGUUUCAGUGUCUAGAAACUUCAUUAAUCUUAAUGUGAUUGAGACUUUUUGUUUUACGAUAAAAAUUCUCUCAUGAAAUAUGUGGAUGUGGAUCUUUUGAUCCAACGAAGUAGUCACAUUUUAUAUGUGAUUUCGUUUGGUCUUUCAAAUUAUCCGUGAACAUCUGUGUCAUCAAAAACUAUCUUCAAUAUGCAUCUGUAAUCAAGCAAGAAAACCCGCUGAACUUAA
This 315-nucleotide ribosomal RNA is filed under the name uncultured fungus. RNAcentral describes it as "eukaryotic LSU rRNA". The stretch from base 1 to 100 matches the Rfam family "5.8S ribosomal RNA", at positions 56 to 154 of the family's 154-position model. The record is from RNAcentral. Lineage: Eukaryota; Fungi.